RNAcentral lists this ribosomal RNA (446 nucleotides) under uncultured bacterium. RNAcentral's name for it is "partial 16S ribosomal RNA". It matches the Rfam family "Bacterial small subunit ribosomal RNA", at positions 338 to 795 of the family's 1533-position model. The record is from RNAcentral.
CCUACGGGGGGCAGCAGUCGAGAAUCAUUCACAAUGGGGGAAACCCUGAUGGUGCGACGCCGCGUGGGGGAAUGAAGGUCUUCGGAUUGUAAACCCCUGUCAUGUGGGAGCAAAUUAAAAAGAUCGUACCACAAGAGGAAGAGACGGCUAACUCUGUGCCAGCAGCCGCGGUAAUACAGAGGUCUCAAGCGUUGUUCGGAAUCACUGGGCGUAAGGCGUGCGUAGGCUGUUUCGUAAGUCGUGUGUGAAAGGCGCGGGCUCAACCCGCGGACGGCACAUGAUACUGCGAGACUAGAGUAAUGGAGGGGGAACCGGAAUUCUCGGUGUAGCAGUGAAAUGCGUAGAUAUCGAGAGGAACACUCGUGGCGAAGGCGGGUUCCUGGACAUUAACUGACGCUGAGGCACGAAGGCCAGGGGAGCGAAAGGGAUUAGAUACCCUUGUAGUC